UCUUGUUCUCAUUGCCGGCAGAUUCACUACACACAGGGGAAACAAUUUUAUUAAAAACAAAUUUUGCCGCGGAAAAAAAUGGGCAGGUACGUAAAAUAAUUUAAAACUAAAUACAAAAAUUGUACUUAUCUCUUUCGAUUUUAAUUGCCCACUUGCGUCCGUCACCUGAUUAUUACACGUGAAACAAAUUUAGCCAAAGCUGCCUCAAAACACUUGGAAAACUAUGCAAAACACUGGACCGCACAAAAACGCGUCCACUUUACACUUUACAAUGUGUGUGUUUGGUGUGGCUCGAAUUGUUUAGAACGAAUUGUGUAGAUCGAAAAGUGUCAGCUUCCCCGUUGUCCAUUGCUUUUGUUGGUUGGGUUGGUGCGAGUGUGGUGUGUUAUAUUGGUGUUGUUUUGUAGUGGCAUCCUGUGGUGAAUUGCGCUGUAGCAUUAGGAUGCACCAGUUUCACCAGGUAGAGGGGCUGGAUGCUUAACUCAUUUAAACACUACGCAUUUGCACACACCACACAUCAUAGUUCUCAUCAUCGAGUUUUUCAAUUUGGAAAUUAGAAUUCAUUUUUAAUAGAAGUUUGCUAGGCGAACGACGGAUUUUUUUAUUUUUUACUUAUCUAACUUGCGCGUGUUCUGGGUUAUCUGGGCCCAUAACCUUUGUUGGCAGAGUUCUAAGUUCAACUGUUUAUUCAAGACUUCUGUUACAAAAAUGGAUUUCAUAUUUCAAUAGUUAUAUAUGUUACAUUUACAAUAUAGUGUAUUCAUAUGGAAUAUAUAACUAUUCGUAUUAUAUUUUCGGACAAAGUCCACUUAGGAAAUAUGUUACUUGUUACAUUUUCAACAGAUUCAAAGUCAAAUUCUGGGAGGCUUUCGCUCGUAAAAACGAUCGAUCGUGUUGACAAUGAAGACGAAGCCAUUAAUUAUCCAGUGGAAUUUCUAAAUUCUUUGGAGAGGCUUGGUAUGCCACCGCAUCAUUUCCGUCUCAAAGUAGGAUCUGUCGUUAUUAUGUUUCGCAAUCUUCAUACGCCGAAACUGUGUAAUGGGGGGGUUCUGAUUGUGACGCAGCUAUCGAAUACAAGGAGGCAGAAUGCUUGAUUCUACGAAUUCCUUUGAGCUCUAACGAUUUGCCAUUUCAGUUCAAACGUAUUCCGUUUCAAGUGAAAAUUGCAUUUGAGAUGGCAAUCAACAAGACACAAGGAUAGUCGCAUAGUGUGUGGCAUAACUUUGGAAAUACCACGUUUUUCAUACUUCCAGAUAUACGUAGCGUGCUCACGAGUUGAAAACCAUCUUUUCUGCACACAGGAACAGAAACCAAAAAAUAUUGUUUAUCAAGCUGCGUUACGUUGAAAAAAAAAAAAUGAAAUGAUAAAUUCAACUUUCUUUUCAUUUCAAAACACCUAAUUUCACGCAGGACAGCGGCUGCGGGGCCAGCUAGUUUUUAAUAUAAUUGUAUAAACAUAAGCAUGUGUUCAAUAUUCAUGUGAGCAUUAUUUGAACAUUUUUUCUUCAAAAAUGCAAAAUAAAAUCGCACAGCUACCGGCAGGGUACAGUGGUUCUUGUUUACAUACACAUAUACUUAUGUAUAUGAAUUAUAGUGAUAGUUGUAACUGCAUAAGAAUAGGUUGAAUCAUAAUUUGAGAUGAUUGCAUAAUAGCUGACAAAUAUUCCUGAAACAUGGCAUAGAAAAAUGCAAUAUUUAAAAGGAACGAUCAAGUCUGUGUUUUCUUAAGUUUAGUAUCUGGGCUUAAGUUGUCGAUUUUGUAAUUACAUUCGAUGAAUGUUGGAAAAAACAUUACCAUGUGAUUAGAUAUAGACCGUGAGACUCUUAUGCUCUACUCCUGCACUGUUAUUCAUUAUAACGAGAAGCAUAUAGUAGUGGUACUCAUUUAACAUCGUAAACGUAUGGCAAUAUCACAAAUUCGCAAUAUCGUAAAACAGCUGUUAAUUUUUACAUUUUAUUUUACGACAAUCUUGCAAAUAUGCGAGACCGUUUUCAGUGGCAACCAUAGCAUUUUGCGCAAUUCGCAAUCAGCUGGAAGCGUCUAUUUGGUGUUUUAAAAGAAAUGGAAGCGGAAAAAAAAAAGAUUAUGGCUAAACGGCACAUUUCGUUGGCCAAACGAAAGACCUUUUGAUAAAUCUAGUGAACGCAAUAAAAGAAAAUCCGGACCAUUUUGAGGUAAUAUUAAUAUAUUUUUUGUCAUUUCAUCAUUUUACAUUUUACGAUCUGCUUUUAGAAACCAACAGCCCAAAGGUUUUACAACAAAAUUUGAGAAAAAGCUGCAAGUUUAAUGAAUAUAACGAGGAAUAAAAUGGGGCAUUUGAAAACGGCUCUUUUAUCUGCGCUCAAGUGGAAAGGCCAGACUGGUACAGGCUUACUUGAAAGUGGUGAUCCUCAUAGUGUGGAAGAAUACAUGAAAAGAAUAUGUCCUUUUUAUAAAGACCUUCACGUGAUAUUUGGACGUUGCAUAAGUGUUCAGCCACCAGCGAUUUAUCAAUCAACAGAGUUGCUGUCAGCGUUGGACGAUACAUAUACAGAAUAUAUUACCCCAGAGAUAGACCCCGACACAAGUUCUUCGAGUCCGUUACCCAGUCCGUGCGUUAUUAUGUAUCCGUCUGCAGAUGAAGUAGUUAGUCCGUCAGCUAAUUUUGCAUGCACAUCUACACCAAGAAGAACAUAAAAAAAAUCUCAUAGUAGUUCAAAUCCAUUUUCAUUACUUUUCGAAAUCCAAAAUAAGAAGUUGGAACUAGAAGGAAAAAAUUGGAAUUUGGGAAAGAGAGAGAGGAAAACAAUUUCCAAUUGUAAAAAUUAUGGUUGGAGAAAGAAAUGGAAGUAGAAAUGGAAAAAGUCAGAUUGGAACACGAAUCAUUGAAAAGCUUAAAUAGCUCAUAAGUUGCCAAAAUGUAAUCACCUGUAUUCCAAUAUAAGAUUUUUUCCAUUUUGACUUUUUCUUAUUAAUACAUUUGUAGGUUUGUUUUACUUAUAGUGACUUAGUAAAUAUGAUGCACCUUGCUUUUUUUUUACUUUAUCCGUAUUAAGUUAUUUCUAGUUAAAUAAUUUGUGUUACUUGUUUAUGUAAAGAAAUUGAAUAUUAUUUGAAAAAAUAAAUAAGAAAAGAAUUUUUAAAUUAAGAUAUUUAUUGAUUAAACAAUUGUUCAAAGAUUUGUCGUCGCCUUAUCUCCCCUUCAUUGGUACGAGCAUUUGGUUCCCAUAACGACUCGUCAAUACUGUGGUCCGAUUCCUCAGGUUGGUAAUCGAAAUAAUGGUCUUGUUGGAGUAUAAAGUUGUGUAACAAUGCACAAAAGAGAAUCCUUUUGUAAACUUUCCUCAUACCAUUUUCAUUUUUUAUUUGGAGGCUUUUAAACUACCAAAUCUUUCCUUCAGCAUUCCAAAACAAUGUUCAAUUCGAAUUCUAUAUCGACUGAAUGUUUUGUUAAAAAAAUCCUUUGGCUUAGUGUUGAAUUUCUAUAAUUUUCUCUAAAAGGCGUUAUAACAGUACUCGAAAAUUCAUAUGCACUGUAUGCACUGUCACCUGCAAUUCAUUCACCUUCUCUGAAAAAAUUGUGUGCUUCAAGAACCGAUUCUUAUUCUACUUCGACUACUGAAGAUCGAUUCCGAAAAAUCGAUUAUUUAACGAGAAAACUCGAUUCUCGAGUAGAAUCGGAAUCGAAUUUACCAUCCCUACUGGUAGCCAUCGCGUGAGUUAAGGAACGUAUUGCUUAUAAUAGUAGCAAACAACAAAACAACCUUUAGUUUCAGUAAACAGAAUGUAUCAAAACAACCUUGAGUUGGAACAAUUGAAAUGCAGUAUCACUACAACAAACAAUCCUAAACAAAGAAGUAUCAAAACAACAUUGGCCUUAUCUUAAAACAAAGAAAAUGUAUCUAAGCAAACAAUAUACAAUAUAUGUAAACAAAUCUAAACAAUAAUAUAAUCUGUAAACAAACUAACAACUAGUAAUAAGUAAACAUACUAGUUAGUAUAAAUAGAAGUAAGAACCAUGUAAUAAGUUAGUCUUAAGAGUAUAAAUAAAGAGUACACAUUUCGGUGCAGCUCAAAAUAUAUUCUUUUGACUCAUUUUUACUUCUGGUAAAAAUUAACUCGUGCACAUAUAAAACAUACACUUUAUUGUUAUUUAUAUGUAGUUAAAUGUACACUCAAUAUAGUGAGGUGCAGCUACCACUGCGUUAAUUAAAAUGAAAAUAUCCGGUUUAUAGUUGUGUACACUUUAUUUUUUCCAACAAUUUUAUUUACAUCACUAAAUUAAUAUUUUAUAAUAUAUAGUUUGUAAAUAUAAUCCAGGGGAAGGGCGACGAGAUUCCAAUUCCGAGCGUUAUUUGCCAGCGGUGGCGAUCGAGUUGACGCGGAUUCGUAUGUUAGCGAAGGUUGAAGGUCGGAAUGUAUAUGACCAAGUGAGUCGAAUUACAAAAACGUUAGUAUAUCAAUUUAACUUUCGCCAAUAUCCCGAUUCCCCUCCAGCUGAUCGAGUAUAAUAAAAACAUUACCAAUAAACAGAUGUGCGAAGCGGUGUAACAACCGAAUCAGCUGUUCAAACGAUGUUAUUGCAAAACGGGCGGGAUGAAUCCCAAAACAAAAAGUGAUAAAAUGGAAUGUUCAAUGUUUCCCGUUUUCCAUUCUCUUUGAUGAGUUUGUUGGUGUAUAGGCCUGGUGAGUUGUGUUGUGGUGUUCUCAGCUGUGGUGAACUAAGCUGUCUUAUUAGGGUGCGCCGGUUUUUGCGGAUAGAGUGGGCGGAUGCUUAACUCAUUUAAACA
Bactrocera dorsalis (oriental fruit fly) is the source of this 4770-nucleotide long non-coding RNA. RefSeq lists it as uncharacterized. The record is from RefSeq and is a predicted model, not a curated record. The transcript is spliced from 2 exons. NCBI's taxonomy places the organism in Eukaryota, Metazoa, Arthropoda, Insecta, Diptera, Tephritidae.